This 440-nucleotide ribosomal RNA is filed under the name uncultured Anaeroplasma sp. RNAcentral's name for it is "bacterial SSU rRNA". It matches the Rfam family "Bacterial small subunit ribosomal RNA", at positions 341 to 792 of the family's 1533-position model. Lineage: Bacteria; Bacillati; Mycoplasmatota; Mollicutes; Anaeroplasmatales; Anaeroplasmataceae. The record is from RNAcentral.
ACGGAAGGCAGCAGUAGGGAAUUUUCGGCAAUGGGCGAAAGCCUGACCGAGCAACGCCGCGUGAACGAAGAAGUAUUUCGGUAUGUAAAGUUCUUUUAUUAGGGAAGAAAAGACAGAUUGACUGUACCUAAUGAAUAAGCUCCGGCUAACUACGUGCCAGCAGCCGCGGUAAUACGUAGGGAGCGAGCGUUAUCCGGAAUUAUUGGGCGUAAAGGGUGCGCAGAUGGCACAUUAAGUUUCUUGUAAAAAUGCUGGGCUCAACCCAGUAGGGCAAGAGAUACUGAUGAGCUAGAGUACGACAGAGGCAAGUGGAACUCCAUGUGUAGCGGUAAAAUGCGUAAAUAUAUGGAAGAACACCAGUGGCGAAGGCGGCUUGCUAGGUCGAUACAGACAUUGAGGCACGAAAGCGUGGGGAGCAAACAGGAUUAGAUACCCUGGUA